This 72-nucleotide transfer RNA is filed under the name Rhamnusium bicolor. RNAcentral describes it as "tRNA-OTHER". It matches the Rfam family "tRNA". From Rfam's summary of the family: Transfer RNA (tRNA) molecules are approximately 80 nucleotides in length. The record is from RNAcentral. Lineage: Eukaryota; Metazoa; Arthropoda; Insecta; Coleoptera; Cerambycidae.
GUUGAAAUAGUUCAGUGGGAGAGCGUUAGACUGAAGAUCUUAAAGUUCUGAGUUCAAAUCUCAGUUUUAAAA